This 500-nucleotide ribosomal RNA is filed under the name uncultured Ascomycota. RNAcentral's name for it is "SSU rRNA". It matches the Rfam family "Eukaryotic small subunit ribosomal RNA", at positions 21 to 524 of the family's 1831-position model. Lineage: Eukaryota; Fungi; Ascomycota. The record is from RNAcentral.
UGUAGUCAUAUGCUUGUCUCAAAGAUUAAGCCAUGCAUGUCUAAGUAUAAGCAAUUAUACCGCGAAACUGCGAAUGGCUCAUUAUAUAAGUCAUCGUUUAUUUGUUAGUACCUUACUACUUGGAUAACCGUGGUAAUUCUAGAGCUAAUACAUGCUAAAAAUCCCGACUUCGGAAGGGAUGUAUUUAUUAGAUUAAAAACCAAUGCCCUUCGGGGCUCACUGGUGAUUCUUGAUAACUCCUCGAAUCGCAUGGCCUUGUGCCGGCGAUGGUUCAUUCAAAUUUCUUCCCUAUCAACUUUCGAUGUUUGGGUAUUGGCAAACAUGGUUGCAACGGGUAACGGAGGGUUAGGGCUCGACCCCGGAGAAGGAGCCUGAGAAACGGCUACUACAUCCAAGGAAGGCAGCAGGCGCGCAAAUUACCCAAUCCCGACACGGGGAGGUAGUGACAAUAAAUACUGAUACAGGGCUCUUUUGGGUCUUGUAAUUGGAAUGAGUACAAU